RNAcentral lists this ribosomal RNA (468 nucleotides) under uncultured bacterium. RNAcentral's name for it is "partial 16S ribosomal RNA". It matches the Rfam family "Bacterial small subunit ribosomal RNA", at positions 28 to 507 of the family's 1533-position model. The record is from RNAcentral.
GACGAACGCUGGCGGCGUGCUUAACACAUGCAAGUCGAACGGAAAGGCCCUGCUUUUGUGGGGUGCUCGAGUGGCGAACGGGUGAGUAACACGUGAGUAACCUGCCCUUGACUUUGGGAUAACUUCAGGAAACUGGGGCUAAUACCGGAUAGGAGCUCCUGCUGCAUGGUGGGGGUUGGAAAGUUUCGGUGGUUGGGGAUGGACUCGGGGCUUAUCAGCUUGUUGGUGGGGUAGUGGCUUACCAAGGCAUUGACGGGUGGCCGGCCUGAGAGGGUGACCGGCCACAUUGGGACUGAGAUACGGCCCAGACUCCUACGGGAGGCAGCAGUGGGGAAUAUUGCACAAUGGGCGGAAGCCUGAUGCAGCAACGCCGCGUGCGGGAUGACGGCCUUCGGGUUGUAAACCGCUUUCGCCUGUGACGAAGCGUGAGUGACGGUAAUGGGUAAAGAAGCACCGGCUAACUACGUG